Molecule: long non-coding RNA, 686 nt
Filed under: Gallus gallus (chicken)
Lineage: Eukaryota; Metazoa; Chordata; Aves; Galliformes; Phasianidae
Source: RNAcentral
AUAAAGACUCAGCAGAACGGGUUAAUUUGGGUGCAGCAUCUUCUAAGGAAGGUUCAACUGAAUUCCCCAGGUCUCCAUUUUCAUGUCCAUCAAUACUUGGUUUCUUAUCAAACACUUGUGAAGGUUUGACGUCCACAUUUACUUCUUUCCUAUUGGAACCUGAAUUUGCUCCUUCUUCCAAUUCAUCAAGAUACAAACGAUAACGGUGUCCACUCUCAUCCUCAUAUUCUACGUUUUCAUCAUCCGAAUCAACUUCUGGAGCAACAUACACUACUUCAAAUUCAAUCUCGCCUCUCUGUUGGGAAAGGAUAGUUACAGCUUCUUUAUGUUUGGCAUCUCUUAGAUUAACUCCAUUUACUGCCAGAAUAGCAUCACCAACAUGUAGUCCUCCACAUCGAUCAGCAGGUUGCCCAGGAUGGAUUUCAGAGAUCAGUAUUGGAACACCGUGCUCCUUCCCACCUGUGAUUGAAAUUCCUAGUCCUUCAUGGUCUUCUUUGACUAGCAAAACUUUUCUGAUUGGACCAACACCUUGACUCUUCUUUAAGGCAUCUGGAUCAUGUCCUGGUGGUGCUUGCAUUGGUCGUUUUAGAUCAUUCCUACCUCGACAAGCUCUAAUAACAGUUUUGUGACGGUGAAGGUGUAUUUCUGCUUCAAGCUGAUUCCAGAGCUUGUCAUGAGCAGGUCCC